UACGUAGGGGGCAAGCGUUGUCCGGAAUCAUUGGGCGUAAAGAGCUCGUAGGCGGCUCAGUAAGUCGGGUGUGAAACCUCCAGGCUCAACCUGGAGACGCCACCCGAUACUGCUGUGGCUAGAGUCCAGUAGGGGAGUGUGGAAUUCCCGGUGUAGCGGUGAAAUGCGCAGAUAUCGGGAGGAACACCGGUGGCGAAGGCGGCUCUCUGGACGGUGACUGACGCUGAGACGCGAAAGCGUGGGGAGCAAACAGG
Molecule: ribosomal RNA, 254 nt
Filed under: uncultured bacterium
Lineage: Bacteria
Description: partial 16S ribosomal RNA
Rfam family: Bacterial small subunit ribosomal RNA
Source: RNAcentral